RNAcentral lists this microRNA (21 nucleotides) under Triticum aestivum (bread wheat). RNAcentral describes it as "tae-miR9674b-5p". The record is from miRBase by way of RNAcentral. RNAcentral also lists the same sequence under 1 other name. Lineage: Eukaryota; Viridiplantae; Streptophyta; Magnoliopsida; Poales; Poaceae.
AUAGCAUCAUCCAUCCUACCC